UACGGGAGGCAGCAGUGGGGAAUAUUGCACAAUGGGCGAAAGCCUGAUGCAGCAACGCCGCGUGAAGGAAGAAGGUCUUCGGAUUGUAAACUUCUUUUAUGAGGGACGAAGGACGUGACGGUACCUCAUGAAUAAGCCACGGCUAACUACGUGCCAGCAGCCGCGGUAAU
This 170-nucleotide ribosomal RNA is filed under the name uncultured rumen bacterium. RNAcentral describes it as "partial 16S ribosomal RNA". It matches the Rfam family "Bacterial small subunit ribosomal RNA", at positions 340 to 524 of the family's 1533-position model. The record is from RNAcentral.